RNAcentral lists this ribosomal RNA (601 nucleotides) under uncultured bacterium. RNAcentral's name for it is "bacterial SSU rRNA". It matches the Rfam family "Bacterial small subunit ribosomal RNA", at positions 724 to 1328 of the family's 1533-position model. The record is from RNAcentral.
GCCUGCUGGACGACAACUGACGCUGAGGCGCGAAAGCGUGGGGAGCAAACAGGAUUAGAUACCCUGGUAGUCCACGCCGUAAACGAUGGAUACUAGGUGUGGGGGGACUGACCCCCUCCGUGCCGCAGUAAACACAAUAAGUAUCCCACCUGGGGAGUACGACCGCAAGGUUGAAACUCAAAGGAAUUGACGGGGGCCCGCACAAGCAGUGGAUUAUGUGGUUUAAUUCGACGCAACGCGAAGAACCUUACCGGGAUUUGACAUCCUGCUAACGAAGUAGAGAUACAUUAGGUGCCCUUCGGGGAAAGCAGAGACAGGUGGUGCAUGGUUGUCGUCAGCUCGUGUCGUGAGAUGUUGGGUUAAGUCCCGCAACGAGCGCAACCCUUAUUGUUAGUUGCUACGCAAGAGCACUCUAGCGAGACUGCCGUUGACAAAACGGAGGAAGGCGGGGACGACGUCAAAUCAUCAUGCCCCUUAUGUCCCGGGCUACACACGUAAUACAAUGGCGUUAAACAGAGGGAAGCAAAGCCGCGAGGCAGAGCAAAACCCUAAAAGGCGUCUCAGUUCGGAUCGCAGUCUGCAACUCGACUGCGUGAAGUUG